Molecule: non-coding RNA, 2513 nt
Organism: Leptonychotes weddellii (Weddell seal)
Lineage: Eukaryota; Metazoa; Chordata; Mammalia; Carnivora; Phocidae
Source: RefSeq, a predicted model, not a curated record
GGCUCUGACACGAGGCUGCAUAUAAGGCAGCUUCUCACUGUCCUUCCAUUUCUUGUUUUACCUCAUUUGGUUAAACCACACAAGCUCAGUGCUCGGAACUUCCGUUGUCUUAUCUUGAACAUCAUGUACUGUUCCAGCCCAGCCAGCCACCCAGGAAGGAAGCGUUCUGUUCCCAUCAGACAGAGGGCCUGGCCGGCAACAUGGCCACGCUGUUGAAAAGCUCUACAAAGAACCUAUCCAGCUGAGCCGAGGGCAGAGAGUAGGGGGACCAUGGACAGGGUCAUGGAAGAAAGCAGCUGUGAUCACCAAGCAGGGCUUCCUGACCAACUACAGACGUGGGGAUGGAGAGGAGGCAGAUUCAUACCCAGCCCACUGGGGAGUUGGUUGCUCUGUCGUCCAUCACCUGCGCCCUAAGAAGUGAUUACAACAUCAGAAAAUGGGCUAGGACGGUGCUCAGCUGGGGAGAUUUAAGAGACAAAUUCCCUUUUCCAAGAAAUUGCCAACCGGUUUUAACUCUUGGAGGCUUGCGUUGGAGUGAGCCGUCCAAUGAGCCAGCCCAGAAAAGCCUGCUGGAGGAUGAGGGGCUAUGUGGAACAGAGAUAAGCCAUCUCAGCUGAGACCAACCUACCCCAGCCAGCCUCCUGAAGAUGCUUGGAAGAGUCCAGAUGAGCUCAGAUGAGCCUGGCCCAGAUUAGUAGAACCACCAAGCUGAUCUGCUGACCAUAGGUUCUAGUAGCAAACAUUCCUGAUUGCUGGUGAAGGAGUUGGGAAUCUUGAUUGAAAAAGCCAGCAAUGGUGACUGUAAUCUUUUCAUUGGCCAUUGAACAGGAGGGAACGUGUGAUCCAUUUCUGACGAUGAGACAGAAGGGGUGCACCCAUGAUGGGGAUUGCUCUUGGUCUCCAUCCGCAGAUAUAGUCAUACCCAAGCUGCUAAGCCCAGUUCCUGUACUCAUCUUGUUGCAGACUAGCAAUGAAGAGUUCACAUCUGAAGUUGGCAUUUUGAGUAACAUUUAUUUAUAAUAAUGUUUCUCAAAAUCUCGUCCCUGGACCAGCAGCACCAGCGUCACCUGGGAACUUGCUACAAAUGCAAGUUCUCAAUCUCCCUUCCAGACGUCAAGAACCAGAAACCCUGGGGAUGGAGUCCACAAAUCUGGACUUUUACCAGCCUUCUGGGUGAUUGUGAGGAUGCCACACAGUUGGACAGGAGAAAAAGCUAACAACAGAAGCUAGUUUCCAGCAACCCUUCAAUAGCACACACAGAAAUGCUCAGCAGGAAGGAAGAUUAGGAGAGGGUUGACAAGACUCCCCGAGAGCAAGGAUCGUGGAGCCCUUGUUCAUGUGUCCACAGGGCCUGGCUCAUUAUAGAUGCUCAGUGGAUCUUAAGGGAAUGGGUGAGUAGAUGAAUGGACAAAUGGAAAAGUGAAAUUUGAUGAGCUAGAACUUUGUAAAAGGAUGUUCUGAUUAAUUGGCUUUCUGAUUAAUUGGCAAAUCUUUCACUUUCCUGAAAAAGUGUGUUUUGUUUUUCAUCUAGUUUGACUGAAUUUUUAUUCAUUGCAAACCAAAGGUCACCUGAAUAAAAGACAGCUAUGUUCAAGUGCAAUGCAUUCAAAUUACAUCUCUUCUAAAGGACGUGUUGCUCAAGUGUCUCAGGUCACAUAAAAGAGUAUAAAAUAGGGAAUUUCAUUUGGGAGACUUUAUUACUGAGAAUGAAUUUUAUUGCAAACCACAUUCAGAGAAAAGCAGAUAAAAGGAUUAUAAUCCAUGAAACAUGGCAAACAUAUGCUAUUAUUUUGGGUGAAAUGUCAUUAUUUUCACUACCAAUACGUAAAUUAAGUACACCCACAUUUGGCAUUGCCAUGAACAUAAUUGGUAAAAUGGUUCUAAUGAGAAGCUCAGAGUUAUUCAGACAGGAUUUAUCAAACAGAAAUAGGAAAAUUAAGCAAGGAAAAUCAUAUAAUAUAAAAAACAAAUGAGAGAAAAGUGAAAAACAUCCAGCAAUUAGUUUAGGUAUACAGGGCCAAGCAGUUGGAAUGAUGGGUUCACAGAAAUUGACUGAUUUUUUGCCUGAAACUUUGUUGGUACAAUGCCAAGACAACCCAUCAGUUUGAAUUGUUCAGUCCUAAAUUGACUGAAUUGACCAGUCAUUUGGAAUGCCUUGAGAAUCUGUCUAUAACAUGUCUGUUUUGAAUACAGUGCCUGUCCUGCUUUAGGAAUAUCUUCAGACACGUACCACUCCUACUUAAUGGAGAAUAAAUGCUCUGUAGCCACGUAAAUUCAAGGAGACUACCAGCACCAACAAGAAAGCUCCAGUAUCUGCAACAUUUCUGUGAUCCAGGUCAUCUCAUACUGGAGAAACUGAUGACUUUUUCUAAAACAAAACCUUGAAGAGUGACCUAAGUUCAAAACUUAACUCUCCCUCUUUAGCCUUAGGGUUGCCCUCCAUGAAAUGGGAAUAACAAGUUCUUUAUAGAUUUUGGAUACUAGCCCUUUAUCUGAUAUGUCAUUUGCAAAUA